GCUUUUGUACACACCGCCCGUCGCUACUACCGAUUGAAUGAUUUAGUGAGGUCUUUGGACUGGUACGCGGCAUCGACUCUGUCGUUGCCGAUGCUACCGGAAAGAUGACCAAACUUGAUCAUUUAGAGGAAGUAAAAGUCAUAACAAGGUUUCCGUAGGUGAACCUGCGGAAGGAUCAUUA
RNAcentral lists this ribosomal RNA (181 nucleotides) under Dociostaurus maroccanus. RNAcentral describes it as "partial 18S ribosomal RNA". It matches the Rfam family "Eukaryotic small subunit ribosomal RNA", at positions 1656 to 1831 of the family's 1831-position model. Lineage: Eukaryota; Metazoa; Arthropoda; Insecta; Orthoptera; Acrididae. The record is from RNAcentral.